UACGGGGGGGGCAAGCGUUGUUCGGAAUUACUGGGCGUAAAGGGCUCGUAGGCGGCCAACUAAGUCGGACGUGAAAGCCCUCGGCUUAACCGAGGAACUGCGUCCGAUACUGGAUGGCUUGAGGUUGGGAGAGGGAUGCGGAAUUCCAGGUGUAGCGGUGAAAUGCGUAGAUAUCUGGAGGAACACCGGUGGCGAAGGCGGCAUCCUGGACCAAUUCUGACGCUGAGGAGCGAAAGCAUGGGGAGCGAACAGG
RNAcentral lists this ribosomal RNA (253 nucleotides) under uncultured bacterium. Its description in RNAcentral is "partial 16S ribosomal RNA". It matches the Rfam family "Bacterial small subunit ribosomal RNA", at positions 524 to 776 of the family's 1533-position model. The record is from RNAcentral.